CAAGUUCCUGUAUAUGCUGUCACUUUUCAAGAACCUGAGAAUGAUCCUCGGAAUUGCUGUUACUUGUGGGCUGUUCAGUCUACACAAGAUAGGGGUUAGAAUACUGUGAAGAAAGAUACACCCUGGACCUGACAGGUGGCAUGUUCCCUUUGAGGGGACAGACGAGUAAUACCAAAUUGUUGGGAUGCCAGAGUAUAGAGAAAUUUCGAUCUCAUGGUGACAGGGAGGAAGGUGUGAAUGAAGCUCUAUCGCCUGACACUAGUGUUUCAGUCUUUACCUGGCAGGUGAAUAUAUAUGGACAGGGAAAGCCUUCUGUAUAUUUGGGGCUUUUUGAUAUAAAUCGUUGGUAUCAUGCACAAAUGCCAGAUUCGUUAAGGUCAGGAGAAUAUCUCCAUAAUUGCUCUUAUUUUGCACUGUGGUCCUUGGAGUCUGUUGUAAGUAGGACUUCUCCACAUGGCAUCUUGGAUAUAUUAGUCCAUGAGCGAAGCUUAAAUAGAGGAGUCCCUCCUUCAUAUCCACCUCCCGAGCAGUUUUUUAAUCCAAGCACUUAUAAUUUUG
Molecule: long non-coding RNA, 558 nt
Filed under: Pan troglodytes (chimpanzee)
Lineage: Eukaryota; Metazoa; Chordata; Mammalia; Primates; Hominidae
Description: long non-coding RNA NONPTRT001537
Source: RNAcentral